AUGGCUAUACCACAUUGAAAACACCGGUUCUCGUCCAAUCACCAAAGUUAAGCAAUGUUGGGCCUGGUCAGUACUUGGGAGGGUGACCACCUGGGAACACUGGGUGUAAUGUAGGCU
RNAcentral lists this ribosomal RNA (117 nucleotides) under Cordylochernes scorpioides. Lineage: Eukaryota; Metazoa; Arthropoda; Arachnida; Pseudoscorpiones; Chernetidae. The record is from RNAcentral.